This 78-nucleotide transfer RNA is filed under the name Candidatus Bathyarchaeota archaeon. Its description in RNAcentral is "tRNA-Gly". It matches the Rfam family "tRNA". From Rfam's summary of the family: Transfer RNA (tRNA) molecules are approximately 80 nucleotides in length. Their secondary structure includes four short double-helical elements and three loops (D, anti-codon, and T loops). Lineage: Archaea; Thermoproteati; Candidatus Bathyarchaeota. The record is from RNAcentral.
GCGGCCGUAGUCUAGCCUGGUCUAGGACGUCAGCCUGCCACGCUGAGGACCCGGGUUCAAAUCCCGGCGGCCGCACCA